AGGACGAACGCUGGCGGCGUGCUUAACACAUGCAAGUCGAACGAGGUACUUGUACCUAGUGGCGAACGGGUGAGUAACACGUGAGCAACCUGUCCCGAAGACUGGGAUAAGCGAGGGAAACUUCGUCUAAUACCGGAUGCCCUCUUUGCGUCAUAUGGCGUGCUGAGGAAAUGAACUUCGCUUCGGGAGGGGCUCGCGGCCUAUCAGCUUGUUGGUGAGGUAACGGCUCACCAAGGCGUCGACGGGUAGCUGGUCUGAGAGGAUGAUCAGCCACACUGGGACUGAGACACGGCCCAGACUCCUACGGGAGGCAGCAGUGGGGAAUCUUGCGCAAUGGGCGAAAGCCUGACGCAGCAACGCCGCGUGAGGGAUGAAGGCUCUCGGGUUGUAAACCUCUUUCAGCAGGAACGAAUUGACGGUACCUGCAGAGAAGCUCCGGCCAACUACGCGCCAGCAGCCGC
RNAcentral lists this ribosomal RNA (461 nucleotides) under uncultured bacterium. RNAcentral describes it as "SSU rRNA". It matches the Rfam family "Bacterial small subunit ribosomal RNA", at positions 26 to 518 of the family's 1533-position model. The record is from RNAcentral.